RNAcentral lists this ribosomal RNA (109 nucleotides) under Pteropus alecto (black flying fox). RNAcentral also lists the same sequence under 1 other name. Lineage: Eukaryota; Metazoa; Chordata; Mammalia; Chiroptera; Pteropodidae. The record is from RNAcentral.
GUCUUCAGCCAUGCCACCCUGAAUGUACCUGAUCUUGUCUGAUCUCGGAAGCUAAGCCUGGUUAGUACUUGGAUGGGAGACCACCUAGGAAUACUAGGUGCUGUAGGCA